GACGAACGCUGGCGGCGUGCCUAAUACAUGCAAGUUGAGCGCUGAAGGUUGGUACUUGUACCAACUGGAUGAGCAGCGAACGGGUGAGUAACGCGUGGGGAAUCUGCCUUUGAGCGGGGGACAACAUUUGGAAACGAAUGCUAAUACCGCAUAAAAACUUUAAACACAAGUUUUAAGUUUGAAAGAUGCAAUUGCAUCACUCAAAGAUGAUCCCGCGUUGUAUUAGCUAGUUGGUGAGGUAAAGGCUCACCAAGGCGAUGAUACAUAGCCGACCUGAGAGGGUGAUCGGCCACGUUGGGACUGAGACACGGCCCAAACCCCUACGGGAGGCAGCAGUAGGGAAUCUUCGGCAAUGGACGAAAGUCUGACCGAGCAACGCCGCGUGAGUGAAGAAGGUUUUCGGAUCGUAAAAAUCUGUUGGUAGAGAAGAACGUUGGUGAGAGUGGAAAGCUCAUCAAGUGACGGUAACUACACAGAAAGGGACGGCUAACUACGUG
This 497-nucleotide ribosomal RNA is filed under the name uncultured bacterium. Its description in RNAcentral is "partial 16S ribosomal RNA". It matches the Rfam family "Bacterial small subunit ribosomal RNA", at positions 28 to 507 of the family's 1533-position model. The record is from RNAcentral.